RNAcentral lists this ribosomal RNA (253 nucleotides) under uncultured bacterium. Its description in RNAcentral is "partial 16S ribosomal RNA". It matches the Rfam family "Bacterial small subunit ribosomal RNA", at positions 524 to 776 of the family's 1533-position model. The record is from RNAcentral.
UACGGAGGGGGCGAGCGUUAUUCGGAAUUAUUGGGCGUAAAGGGCGCGUAGGCGGCGCGAUAAGUCAAAGGUGAAAUCCCUCGGCUCAACUGAGGAACUGCCUUUGAAACUGUCGAGCUUGAGUCCGGGAGGGGGUAGCGGAAUUCCCAGUGUAGCGGUGAAAUGCGUAGAUAUUGGGAGGAACACCAGUGGCGAAGGCGGCUACCUGGACCGGUUCUGACGCUGAUGCGCGAAAGCGUGGGUAGCAAACAGG